GCCUCUUCACCUAGUAUGGUGGUUACGACACUCGGCUCGUAAUCGAGUGGGCUCGGGCUCGAAUCCCGAAUAAGGCA
RNAcentral lists this transfer RNA (77 nucleotides) under Trichonephila clavata. RNAcentral's name for it is "tRNA-Thr". Lineage: Eukaryota; Metazoa; Arthropoda; Arachnida; Araneae; Nephilidae. The record is from RNAcentral.